Molecule: ribosomal RNA, 253 nt
Filed under: uncultured bacterium
Lineage: Bacteria
Description: partial 16S ribosomal RNA
Rfam family: Bacterial small subunit ribosomal RNA
Source: RNAcentral
UACGUAGGGUGCGAGCGUUGUCCGGAAUUACUGGGCGUAAAGCGUGCGUAGACGGUUUCGUAAGUCGGGUGUGAAAUCCCCGGGCUCAACCUGGGAAUUGCAUUCGAAACUGCGAGGCUAGGGUACGGAAGAGGGAAGCGGAAUUUCUGGUGUAGCGGUGAAAUGCGUAGAUAUCAGGAGGAACACCGGUGGCGAAGGCGGUUCUCUGGGCCUUACCUGACGCUGAGGAGCGAAAGCGUGGGGAGCAAACAGG